Molecule: ribosomal RNA, 445 nt
Filed under: uncultured bacterium
Lineage: Bacteria
Description: bacterial SSU rRNA
Rfam family: Bacterial small subunit ribosomal RNA
Source: RNAcentral
GCCAGACUCCUACGGGAGGCAGCAGUGGGGAAUAUUGCACAAUGGGGGAAACCCUGAUGCAGCAACGCCGCGUGAGUGAAGAAGUAUUUCGGUAUGUAAAGCUCUAUCAGCAGGGAAGAAAAUGACGGUACCUGAGUAAGAAGCCCCGGCUAACUACGUGCCAGCAGCCGCGGUAAUACGUAGGGGGCAAGCGUUAUCCGGAUUUACUGGGUGUAAAGGGAGCGUAGACGGCGAUACAAGUCUGAAGUGAAAGCCCGGGGCUCAACCCCGGGACUGCUUUGGAAACUGUGUUGCUGGAGUGCUGGAGAGGCAAGCGGAAUUCCUAGUGUAGCGGUGAAAUGCGUAGAUAUUAGGAAGAACACCAGUGGCGAAGGCGGCCUGCUGGACAGUAACUGACGUUGAGGCUCGAAAGCGUGGGGAGCAAACAGGAUUAGAUACCCCCGUA